CAUCUUUUACAGUUUGUUUAAAUCAGCAUCCACACAGGGUCCAUUAUUAUGUCUCUUAAGUUCUUUCCAAGUUUCAUUUAAUGUAGAACAGUUCCCCCCUUUCUUCCUUAUUCAAGUGUUGACGGAACGGGGCAGUUACCCGGUGAAAUGGUCCACCGUCUGGCUGGCCGACUGCUCCCAGGGCCUCAUUGAACUGGUUUCCAUCCCCUGUAGUUCCCGAGCAGCGGGAGCUAGAGAGCAAAGCUUGCCCGAGCCCCCACUUUACGCCCGCCGGCCUUUCUCUUUUCUUUUUGUAGUUACACCUAACAGGUGACAUGCUGCGUGUCCUGUCGCCACACACAGUGUCUGGAUGCCUCACCUUGAGCGGUGCUGAGAUUGCUCAGUGGGUUGAAAGGAAGACAACCUUUAUUGUCCCUUUAUUGUAAGCUUCGGUCCACAUCCAUCUGGCAAUUGACUGAAUCCGUUAGGAGCUGCAAAAUACAAUUUUAGAAUGCUGUUCUGCAUUUAUUAGCUAGAAUUGUAUACAAACUUUCUCCCUCCUUCUUUAGGUCUGUUAAAUUACCCCACAAAUAAAGUUCUUACAAGGAAAGAGAGAAUUUUUUAAUAACCUUAUUCUAUAAUUUUCAGAAUUAGUUGGUGCCUUCUUCUGUCGCUAAUGUUGUUCACGUGCAUUGGUUGUGGCUUUUGUUGGCUUGUUUCACUGCUUUCUCCUCAUUCUCAUGAAGGAACCACGUGAGUGAAGGCCUGGCCGGGAGACGGGGGCAUCAGGUCUGUGUGCCGGCCUCGGCGGGUUUGGGAGUGGCUGUCCGUGCCUCUGAAGGGGGCCACCUGGCUCCACCUGAGCGAAGGGAUGCAGACGCCGGUGCCUCCUGUCUACAACCUCCACUUUGAAAAAUAAAGUUCGUGAGGAGUGCCCAGCGGCAAAGAUCAAACCAGGAAGACAGCUCUGCACACUCGUCAGACACUCCCUCCAGCAAACCUUGGUCGGUGUGCGCUUAAAUCAACGUGACAGGUGUCGUCAGAAGGCCCGUGGUCUGCUGGCGUUGUGUCCCCAGCUGCGCCGCCCACCUCUCCCUCUGCUCACAGAGGCCUGCGUCACAGCCUGUCAGCACCGGCAGGAAUGGCGACACCCCAGCUUUGACACUGGAAAAUCCAGCAUAAAAUUGCCGUAGUAGCAUAUGUCAGUGCAGGAUUAUGAAGCCUGAGGGGGCCACGGAAGACACCAGGAUCUUCAGGCAUAAAGACGAUAACGUAUGUGUGCAUGAUUACAACCUCCAUUUUACAGGUGGGGCAGCUAAGGCAGAAGCAGGGUAAGCUUUUUGCCCUCAGUCCCACAGCUAAUAAGAACCAGACCCCAGCUCAUGGGCCAUGAAAGCCCUUGACAUUGACUGCUUCUCUCCCUCAUUUCUCCUGCAGAGAGCCUUCCCCACUGGACACCCAAGUGAGCACUCCUUUCAGGGGCUACCUCAGGCUUCAGCGGUCAUCUGCACCCCAACUGCACCUUUAACUGUGUUGCCCUUACUGACUGUUAUCCCCUCCAGAUAAAUGCAUGGAAAACUCUGACAGCGAACGCAGACCUUUCUUGCACGCUCACCCCAGCUGCUAACAGGGCACAUGCGGCCGGCAGCAUGGGACUUCCUGUUCUGUCGACUGAACGAACGCCUUGCACCUCCCGAGCAAGUGGAGUCUGAGCAGCACUAGAGCUGAAAGCAAUCUUUUCCCAGUUGCUUUUGUCAAUUCUUUGAAAUGCACUGAGGAAAAGGGACAGCAGCCAAGACGAGCCUGCGGAGGGGGGGGGGCGUGCGCCCCUCUGGGCAUCAUCCCUCUGUCCAGUCGGGGCGGAAAGUUGGGGAAGAGAGCGGGUCAGUGCUGAAGGGGCGGGAGGGCACUCGGCGUUUAGAUCUGCUCCGAAGGAGGACCUCUCCAGAGGGACCUGACGGGUUUCUGUAGCUCAUUCAGCUGCGGGAAGGACUCAGAGACUUGAAACGUCAGGCGCAGACGCUGUGUUUUCGCAUGCCCCUGAAUGAAAGGACCUUUGUGACUGUCGUGUGGAUGUAUUUAAUAUUCAGCCUGCAGAAGACGGAAGGUGGUCUAUGACCUUGAGGGGCAGGAGGCCCCGCCCGCCUGCCAUCAUUUGGCAUUAGCUGUUACUGGAUCCCACAAAAACAUCAGAAAGGAAUUUGUUUUGUGGUUGGGUUUCCCUUUUUUUUUUAAACAUCAUUCCUGUUAGAUCAGUAUUUCCUCAAAUGAGUGAGGGGAAGGGCGCGGUGACUUCCUAAAGGAAAGUAUUUAUAUUUUUAGACCCAAAUCUGCUUUUACAAAGCUCUUCUUAAAAAAAUGCACAGAAAGAGAGUUCUGAACUACAAAAGGUACAUCUUAAACGGUAGUUGUCAGUUUAGCUUAUUAAAUGUAACGUUUAUGAGAACGUUAAGACCGAUUUUGUUUUAAAAGAUGACCAGAUUUUUUUUCCUGUGUUUUAGAAUGUCUGCCUCACCUUCACUACCUCCCGAACUCUCUGGCUUUCCAGUCCAGGGUGGCGGCCCCGUUCGGGCUGCGAGUAACGGGCCGGGGAGGAGGCCCUGCCGGUGGGGAAGGAGGCAGAGAGACACGGGAGAGGCGCUCUCCUCUGGUGACACAGCCCAGGCGGUUUGUCAUGAACUUCGGACACGUUCCAGUCCCAGGGGGUUCUCGAGGUCAGCCUGUCCAGUGUUCCUCGUGUUGUCUGCCACGUGCGCCAGGGGGUGGGGCCCGGAGUCCACGUGCCUGACAUGCAGCCCAGCUGUGUUCGGCCAGUGCCCAGGUGGGUACAGCGGCCCAUUUCACGAAUGAGCAGUCGGUGAUCCGAGAGGUCAUGGACCCCAGACCCGCGGCCAGUUGUACAAGGAGCCUGAGGCAUGCGCCUGCGAGUGACGCUGUGCUGGGCGGAUGGAGCUGUGGACAGGCACGCGUGGCCUCUGUGACAUGCUCGAUGGGGCUCGGGGAAGACAUCCCCUAAUGUCUCUGUCCGUCUUCCUUCAGGAUGUCAUUCUGAAGCCCAUCAAAGAAGACAUGAAACCUUUAUGUCUCGGCUGUGGGUAAGAAGUUAGCGUAACGACACCAAAGCUAAGGGGAAGUGACAAUGGGUAACCGUGCGUUUCUGAGCAAACGUUGACAGUGGGGAAAGAGGUGGCGUGGGAUUGCGCAGGCCUUGGCCAGGUGCCCAGAAUGGGGGGGGGGGAGUCACAGACCACACAGGGAAGACAAGCUGGAGGGUAGGAACUUUGUUCUCUAAUUUUUUAUCAUGAAAGUUUCAGAUAUUCAAGAAAUUUAAAAUGAUAGCGCAUUUCUCACCCAGAUACCAUCUAUCUUAAAAUUUUAAAAACAGCCCUGGCUGGUGAGGCUCAGUGGGUUGAGCACUGGUGUGCAGACCAAAGGAUUGCCGGUUUGAUUCCCAGUCGGGGCACAUGCCUGGGUUGCAGGCCAGGUUCCCAGUAGAGGGUGUGCAAGAGGCAACCCCACCUUGAUGUUUCUCUCCCCCUCUUUCUCCCUCCCUUCCCCACUCUUUAAAAAUAAAUAAAUAUUUCAAAAUAAAUUUUAAAGAUA
Long non-coding RNA from Artibeus jamaicensis (Jamaican fruit-eating bat), 3582 nucleotides. RefSeq lists it as uncharacterized. NCBI's taxonomy places the organism in Eukaryota, Metazoa, Chordata, Mammalia, Chiroptera, Phyllostomidae. The record is from RefSeq and is a predicted model, not a curated record. The transcript has 3 exons.